CCCUUAGAUGUUCUGGGCCGCACGCGCGCUACACUGACUACUUCAACGAGUUGUUUCCUUGAUCGAAAGGUCUGGGUAAUCUUUGAAAGGUAGUCGUGAUGGGGAUAGAUCCUUGCAAUUUUUGAUCUUCAACGAGGAAUUCCUAGUAAACGCAAGUCAUCAGCUUGCAUUGAUUACGUCCCUGCCCUUUGUACACACCGCUCGUCGCACCUACCGAUUGAAUGGUCCGGUGAAUCUUUAGGACUGUGGCUGAGGCCUUGCCUUGUGCGGGUCUGGCCGUGGGAAUUUAGUUAAACCUUACCAUUUAGAGGAAGGUGAAGUCGUAACA
This 328-nucleotide ribosomal RNA is filed under the name uncultured eukaryote. Its description in RNAcentral is "partial 18S ribosomal RNA". It matches the Rfam family "Eukaryotic small subunit ribosomal RNA", at positions 1470 to 1796 of the family's 1831-position model. The record is from RNAcentral.